Molecule: transfer RNA, 76 nt
Filed under: Oceanospirillum multiglobuliferum
Lineage: Bacteria; Pseudomonadati; Pseudomonadota; Gammaproteobacteria; Oceanospirillales; Oceanospirillaceae
Description: tRNA-Lys
Rfam family: tRNA
About the family: Transfer RNA (tRNA) molecules are approximately 80 nucleotides in length.
Source: RNAcentral
GGGUCGUUAGCUCAGUUGGUAGAGCAGUUGGCUUUUAACCAAUUGGCCAUAGGUUCGAAUCCUAUACGACCCACCA